RNAcentral lists this long non-coding RNA (891 nucleotides) under Bos indicus x Bos taurus (hybrid cattle). RNAcentral describes it as "lncRNA (ENSBIXG00000004868.1)". The record is from RNAcentral. Lineage: Eukaryota; Metazoa; Chordata; Mammalia; Artiodactyla; Bovidae.
CCUUCCCUGACUUGGCACCAAAUCAAGAAGUGGCACAUAAUGUAUUGUGUUUAUUAUGCAUCAUUUUGCCGCUGACACUGGGGCCAUCAAAUAUUGGUAAAUUUACAGCCAGGGAGGUCCAGCAUCAUGCCUGAAGUGAAGGACAAAGUAUUGUGUUAUUCAUCUCCAGGCUCUGGUCCUUUGUGAUCAGACAGUGAGCAAUAUACUUAUCAAAGUCAAAAUAACCUUCACUUUAGGAAACAUACUUGUCCUUAAUUGCCAGAAUAAGAAUGCAUAAACAGCUUCUCUCUUGAUAAUGGAAUGGAGCCUGAGUUGAUGUGCUGGGCCCUGCCACAGGUCUGAUCGAUUUCAUCAGUUUCGCUUUUGUCUCCACUGUCCCCCAGCUCACAUUCAGGGUUGCUUACCUGGCCACAGACCCCUUGGCUCACUCAACUCCACAAGUGGCCUGACUAGUUCUCCCAGUGGAAAGGAGCUAAAAUGAUGUGGGUCAUAUCAUCUCCUUUCGCUUGGGUGCAGGGGUUCUGAAUUACCAUGUACCUGGUUCCCUGAAUUACCAUGUACCUGCUUUGGACUUUCACCUCAGUGAAAAGUUUAUGGGAAUUCCUUUAAGAUUUCAGCAGAAAGCAUGGUGGCUUGGUUUGAAAUACAUCUGUACAAAAACAAAACAAGCAGCAACAAUAACGAUAGCAAACUGAGAUCUGGAUAAUGGAAGAAGCCAGCCACACAAAGAGGAAAGAGUGUCCCCCACCUCUCUCCUUUUGGGUGUGCCAGAGAAGCCUGCAAUCCCACUGCUUCUAACAGCCUUCUUGUGACUGAGGUAAGAUAGUCUUUGGGGAGAAGCAGAUCAUAGAUAUGGCAGAAAAGGGAGAGAAAAUGGGUCUUGGUAAACCA